RNAcentral lists this ribosomal RNA (403 nucleotides) under Verrucomicrobiota bacterium. RNAcentral's name for it is "Verrucomicrobia bacterium partial 16S ribosomal RNA". It matches the Rfam family "Bacterial small subunit ribosomal RNA", at positions 355 to 776 of the family's 1533-position model. The record is from RNAcentral. Lineage: Bacteria; Pseudomonadati; Verrucomicrobiota.
UGGGGAAUAUUGCGCAAUGGGGGCAACCCUGACGCAGCAACGCCGCGUUCGGGACGACGGCCUUCGGGUUGUAAACCGCUUUCAGCAGGGAAGAUAGUGACGGUACCUGCACAAGAAUCCCCGGCUAACUACGUGCCAGCAGCCGCGGUAAUACGUAGGGGGCGAGCGUUAUCCGGUUUCAUUGUGCGUAAAGCGCGCGCAGGCGGCUCUUCAAGCGGAACCUCUAACCCCGGGGCUCAACCGCGGGCCGGGUUCCGAACUGGAGGGCUCGAGUGCGGUAGAGGCAGGAGGAAUUCCCGGUGUGGCGGUGGAAUGAGCAGAUAUCGGGAAGAACACCGAAGGCGAAGGCAGCCUGCUGGGACGGCACUGACGCUGAGGCGCGAAAGCAAGGGGAGCGAACAGG